AUUGCCAUGGAUGAUGAAAAUCAAGAAAUUUAGGGGACUGAUGAAACUGAUGAUGGGAUGGGUUGAUGGCAAGGAGCAUUCUCAAUUCAAUCUUUCAAAAGUGCAUCAGCAAGUGUGAAACUGUGAUGCUUUUACAAACGCAUUUCGAAACUGAACACUUAUUUGAAUGUUAACAUCUCGAGAAUGUUGCUGAGAAAUAGUAUUUGUGUUCUCAUGCAGGAUCCUGACUCAGAUUCGCACAUGUUAUCUUAACUGAUCCUGGCCGUUGAUUACGACAGGAGAUCCGUCCAAGGGUGGGUCUUACGACCUGACGGCGUACCUCUCGGUGGCAUGGCGCGGCACCUCCACCACCACCAUGGCCAAGAACUCGUCGCGCACCUCCGCGCGUCGUCGCCACUGGCCGACCUCCUCCGCUCCGCGCCGAACCUCUCCGGCGCGCGAGCCGCGCACGCACGUAUUCUGAAGUCCCCCGUAGCCGGCGAGACCUUCCUCCUCAACACGCUCGUGUCCACGUACGCGCGGCUCGGCCGACUCCGCGACGCACGCAGGGUGUUCGACGAGAUACCCCUGCGCAACACCUUCUCGUACAACGCGCUCCUCUCCGCGUACGCGCGCCUGGGCCGCCCCGACGAGGCGCGGGCUCUCUUCGAGGCCAUCCCGGACCCCGACCAGUGCUCCUACAACGCGGUCGUCGCGGCGCUCGCACGGCACGGGCGCGGGCAUGCCGCGGACGCGCUCCGGUUCCUGGCCGCCAUGCACGCGGACGACUUCGUGCUCAAUGCCUACUCCUUCGCCAGCGCCCUGAGCGCGUGCGCCGCUGAGAAGGACUCGAGGACCGGGGAGCAGGUGCACGGCCUCGUCGCCAGGUCGCCGCACGCGGACGACGUGCACAUCAGGAGCGCGCUCGUGGACAUGUACGCCAAGUGCGAGCGCCCGGAGGAUGCGCGCAGGGUGUUCGACGCAAUGCCGGAGCGGAACGUCGUUUCCUGGAACAGCCUGAUCACUUGCUACGAGCAGAACGGUCCCGUGGGUGAGGCACUCAUGCUGUUCGUCGAGAUGAUGGCUGCUGGUUUCUCUCCGGAUGAGGUGACACUCUCAAGUGUCAUGAGCGCAUGUGCAGGACUUGCUGCAGACAGGGAAGGACGGCAGGUCCAUGCCCAUAUGGUGAAGUGUGACAGACUUAGGGAUGACAUGGUGCUCAACAAUGCUCUGGUGGACAUGUAUGCCAAAUGUGGGAGGACGUGGGAAGCAAGGUGCAUCUUUGAUUCCAUGCCUUCCAGGAGUAUUGUGUCAGAAACAUCUAUACUCACUGGGUAUGCGAAGUCUGCAAAUGUGGAAGAUGCUCAAGUGGUGUUCUCGCAGAUGGUCGAGAAGAAUGUCAUUGCUUGGAAUGUGCUCAUUGCAGCAUAUGCCCAGAAUGGUGAGGAGGAAGAAGCAAUUAGGCUCUUUGUCCAGCUGAAAAGAGACUCCAUUUGGCCGACACAUUACACGUAUGGGAAUGUUCUGAACGCAUGUGGGAAUAUUGCUGACCUUCAACUUGGUCAGCAAGCUCAUGUGCAUGUCCUCAAGGAAGGUUUUCGCUUUGACUUUGGGCCAGAAUCUGAUGUGUUUGUUGGGAACUCCCUUGUAGACAUGUACCUGAAAACAGGUUCCAUCGAUGAUGGUGCUAAGGUAUUUGAGAGAAUGGCAGCCAGAGAUAAUGUGUCCUGGAAUGCGAUGAUUGUUGGUUAUGCACAGAAUGGCCGUGCAAAAGAUGCAUUGCAUCUUUUUGAGAGAAUGCUGUGCAGCAAUGAGAACCCGGACUCUGUCACUAUGAUAGGGGUCUUGUCAGCCUGUGGCCAUUCUGGAUUGGUGGAUGAGGGCCGGAGAUACUUCCAUUCUAUGACUGAAGAUCAUGGGAUUACGCCAUCCCGAGAUCAUUACACAUGCAUGGUUGACUUGCUUGGUCGUGCUGGUCAUCUCAAAGAAGCUGAGGAGCUCAUAAACGACAUGCCAAUGGAACCUGACUCUGUGCUCUGGGCUUCUCUGCUAGGUGCUUGCAGGCUGCAUAAGAAUGUUGAGUUGGGGGAAUGGACAGCUGGGAGAUUGUUUGAGCUUGAUCCUCAGAACUCUGGACCCUAUGUCCUUCUCUCGAAUAUGUACGCUGAGAUGGGCAAAUGGGCAGAAGUUUUUAGAGUGAGGAGAUCCAUGAAGGACAGGGGUGUCAGUAAGCAGCCAGGGUGUAGUUGGAUUGAGAUAGGAAGGAAAAUGAAUGUGUUUCUAGCACGAGACAAACGACAUCCAUGCAGGAAUGAGAUACACAAUACUUUAAGAAUAAUUCAGAUGGAGAUGGGCAGAACGAGUAUAGAUGAAAUUGAUGAUGGCUUGAUGAAUUACUGCUCUGAAGCCUGUGGAUAGAAGUAGAAAGUCAGAUGACUUCAGAAGUAGGCGUUGACAACUUGAGAUUGUAUUGCCAAGGUUAGUACAUCCACAGUACUUACAGGACAGGGCCAAAAGCAAGUUGGUUGACAGAAAGGAUCAUCUUUUUACCUAGUAAGAGAGAGAGAGAGAGAGAGAGAGGCGAGUUUUCAGAUCGAUUUUAAGCUCCCAACCAACCUAUCUGGUCACUGUUCUCAACCAGAUAAAAUGAUUUUUUCAAAGAAUGGGAUAAGCUACGGAGAUGUUUCCUUUGGGUGGGGGAUUAGGAACUCUCCUCGGGUAAAUACAAAGUGCCUUGGACAACAAUGUGUCAGCUAUUAGAAAUGGCCGGCCUUAGCAUACUUGACCUUGAAUGCUACACGCGAGCUCAACGCUUAUGGUGGCUGUGGUUUGAAUGGGUUGCACUAGAGCACCCUUGGAUUGGCAUGCCCCUGCCUGUAGAGCAUUACUAAUAUUGCUCUUUUCAAUGCAGCUAUUGUUGUCCAACUGAACAACAGACUCAUAGGACACAGCAUGUUUCUGGACUAGUUGGGUUCGAGAAGACACACUGUCGGCACUCUUCCCGUCCCUGUUUGCGCAUGCCAGAAGGAAGAAUACAAUGGCUGAGGCUCACAUAAUCGCGCACGCCAGAAGGAAGAAUACAAUGGCUGAGGCUCACAUAAUCGUAGAUGGAUUUCCAGAUUUGGACCAUGUCCUCACUUUUCCUUUAUUUGAGAAAUUUGUCAAGCUGUUCGUCCAGUAGCAAGAUUUCAAUGUGGAUCCUACAUCUGACCAGCCUGAUCACAGUGUGUGGACUGCAAAUGAGAAUGGUGAGUACUUCACACGCUCUUCAUAUUUUCUGAAAUUCAGGGAAACGGUAAUUUCGGCAAUAGCUACACACAUUUGGAAGCCAUCAGCGACGCGAAGUCGUAAAUUCUUUGUAUGGAUGUGAGGAUGUCCCUACAAGAACAUGAACUUGGAGAUGGCAACGCACCUAGCAUAGAGCGUCCAGUAAUAAUGAUGGCAUGGGCAGUGGCGGUGAUUUGACUGUGGCAUGAGGGGUGUAACCUUCCACCUAGUAGUCGGCUACCUCCCUGCAGGAUUGCUACAUUCAAACAUUCAGUUAACAAGCAAGGUCGGCCUUCUCUGGUGCUGGGUCUCAGGUCCCUGAUCAUCCUCACAAUCUGGGAAAUUUGGAAAGAAAGGAAAACAGAGUGUUCAGUAGACAGGGCCGCUCUGAGUCUGGAAUCCUCUCUGGAAUUCAGGAUGAAGCCCGCCACCCGCCCCUGGUGCCUGGUGGGAAUAAGAAGCUGGAGCUGUUACUGCUGGCAUUUUCAGAUGGUGAGCAUUAGCGUUAGCAGUCUGCAGUUACUCUUAGAUUAACUGUGUUAUGUAUUUUCCUGUAAAUCAUUUUUAAUCUCCUAGGGAUGGCAAGAACGCCAAGUACCUUGUACUUGCAAAACUUACAAAAAAAUUUGGUGUGCUUCUAGCGCAUAACUCUAAUUUACAAAGGUGAUAUGCCACUUGCACACAAAAGGCGCUGUACUAUCAAUACUUGAUAGCACUUACAAGCUACAGGCUAUCAUUUGCUGAAGGGGAAAAAAAAGAUGAACGAGGCUCACUAAUGUCUUUUGAAGGCAAAGUUCAUAGACAUAGAGUCAAAGAGAAGCUAGCAAACAAAGCUCCCAUUGACUUCCUCGAGAUCCCUGCAAAUGCAAUGCAAUACCCUGGCAUAUAUUAACUCGGGUU
This is an RNA transcript of Sorghum bicolor (sorghum), 4146 nucleotides long. It is a transcript of the gene named protein disulfide isomerase-like 1-2, with no coding region annotated. The transcript is spliced from 2 exons. NCBI's taxonomy places the organism in Eukaryota, Viridiplantae, Streptophyta, Magnoliopsida, Poales, Poaceae. The record is from RefSeq and is a predicted model, not a curated record.